Molecule: ribosomal RNA, 424 nt
Filed under: Paenibacillaceae bacterium CL5.102
Lineage: Bacteria; Bacillati; Bacillota; Bacilli; Caryophanales; Paenibacillaceae
Description: bacterial SSU rRNA
Rfam family: Bacterial small subunit ribosomal RNA
Source: RNAcentral
UUGAUUUUAGUGGCGGACGGGUGAGUAACACGUAGGCAACCUGCCCUUAAGAUUGGGAUAACUUUAGGAAACGGAUGCUAAGACCGGAUAAWCAAUUUGGCUGCAUGGCCGAGUUGGAAACACGGAGCAAUCUAUCGGCUUAGGGAUGGGCCUGCGGCGCAUUAGCUAGUUGGUGGGGUAAUGGCUCACCAAGGCGACGAUGCGUAGCCGACCUGAGAGGGUGAUCGGCCACACUGGGACUGAGACACGGCCCAGACUCCUACGGGAGGCAGCAGUAGGGAAUCUUCCACAAUGGGCGAAAGCCUGAUGGAGCAACGCCGCGUGAGUGAGGAAGGCUUUCGGGUCGUAAAGCUCUGUUGCCAGGGAAGAAUAAGGAUGAGAGUAACUGCUCAUUCCGAUGACGGUACCUGAGAAGAAAGCCCCG